This 575-nucleotide ribosomal RNA is filed under the name uncultured Pelagibacterales bacterium. RNAcentral's name for it is "bacterial SSU rRNA". It matches the Rfam family "Bacterial small subunit ribosomal RNA", at positions 90 to 699 of the family's 1533-position model. Lineage: Bacteria; Pseudomonadati; Pseudomonadota; Alphaproteobacteria; Candidatus Pelagibacterales. The record is from RNAcentral.
ACUUAGUGGCAGACGGGUGAGUAACAUGUGGGUAUCUACCCUUUGGCCUGGAAUAACACGAGGAAACUUGUGCUAAUACCGGAUAAGUCUUUACGGAGAAAGCUUUAUGCACCAUUGGAUGAGCCCGCACUUGAUUAGUUUGUUGGUAGGGUAAUGGCCUACCAAGACUAUGAUCAAUAGCUGAUUUGAGAGGAUGAUCAGCCACAUUGGGACUGAGACACGGCCCAAACUCCUACGGGAGGCAGCAGUGGGGAAUCUUGCACAAUGGAGGAAACUCUGAUGCAGCGAUGCCGCGUGAGUGAAGAAGGCCCUUGGGUUGUAAAGCUCUUUCGUCGGGGAAGAAAAUGACUGUACCCGAAUAAGAAGGUCCGGCUAACUUCGUGCCAGCAGCCGCGGUAAUACGAAGGGACCUAGCGUAGUUCGGAAUUACUGGGCUUAAAGAGUUCGUAGGUGGUUGAAAAAGUUGGUGGUGAAAUCCCAGAGCUUAACUCUGGAACUGCCAUCAAAACUUUUCAGCUAGAGUAUGAUAGAGGAAAGCAGAAUUUCUAGUGUAGAGGUGAAAUUCGUAGAUAUUA